Molecule: microRNA, 21 nt
Filed under: Schmidtea mediterranea
Lineage: Eukaryota; Metazoa; Platyhelminthes; Tricladida; Dugesiidae
Description: sme-miR-2154-3p
Source: miRBase by way of RNAcentral
ACAAGUCUUUGUAUAGCUUAU